AUACGGAGGGUCCGAGCGUUAUCCGGAAUCAUUGGGUUUAAAGGGUUCGUAGGCGGGUCAAUAAGUCAGAGGUGAAAUCUUGCAGCUUAACUGUAAAAUUGCCUUUGAAACUGUUGACCUUGAAUUACUGUGAAGUGGUUAGAAUAUGUAGUGUAGCGGUGAAAUGCUUAGAGAUUACAUAGAAUACCGAUUGCGAAGGCAGAUCACUAACAGUAUAUUGACGCUGAUGAACGAAAGCGUGGGUAGCGAACGGGAUUAGAAACCCGGGUAGUCC
RNAcentral lists this ribosomal RNA (274 nucleotides) under uncultured bacterium. RNAcentral's name for it is "partial 16S ribosomal RNA". It matches the Rfam family "Bacterial small subunit ribosomal RNA", at positions 523 to 796 of the family's 1533-position model. The record is from RNAcentral.